UAGGUGAACCUGCGGAAGGAUCAUUAUUGAAUAUUCUUGAUGGGUUGUAGCUGGCUCUUCGGGGCAUGUGCACGCUUGUCUUGACUUUAUUCGUCCACCUGUGCACCUUUUGUAGUCUUGUGGGUUGAGAGCAGUCAACUAUCGGACAGCUAUUACAGCCGCUCCGGAUGUGAGGAAUGCUGAGUGCGAAAGCAUACAGCUCUUCUCUACGAUUGCAAUACCUCUCCCUCGGGUACUAUGUAUUCAUAUACCACUUGUAUGUUGUCGAAUGUGAUCAAUGGGCUUAUAUGCCUAUAAUAAUCAUAUACAACUUUCAGCAACGGAUCUCUUGGCUCUCGCAUCGAUGAAGAACGCAGCGAAAUGCGAUAAGUAAUGUGAAUUGCAGAAUUCAGUGAAUCAUCGAAUCUUUGAACGCACCUUGCGCUCCUUGGUAUUCCGAGGAGCAUGCCUGUUUGAGUGUCAUUAAAUUCUCAACCCUCCAGCUUUUGCGAGUUGUGAUGGGCUUGGAUAUGGGGGUUUGCGGGCCUUUAUUAAGAGGUCGGCUCUCCUGAAAUACAUUAGCGGAACCGUUUGCAGUCCCGUCACUAGUGUGAUAAUUAUCUACACUGUGAUGAUUGCUCUCUGACUAGUUCAGCUGCUAAUAGUCCCUUGUUGGACAACAUUAAUGAACUUCUUGACCUCAAAUCAGGUAGGACUACCCGCUGAACUUAAGCAUAU
This 717-nucleotide ribosomal RNA is filed under the name Bovista aestivalis. Its description in RNAcentral is "eukaryotic LSU rRNA". The stretch from base 309 to 462 matches the Rfam family "5.8S ribosomal RNA". Lineage: Eukaryota; Fungi; Basidiomycota; Agaricomycetes; Agaricales; Lycoperdaceae. The record is from RNAcentral.